CAUAUGUUAGAGCCUCUCCAUGUGUCUUCGGAGCCCUUUCUGCGUUAAGUGCCCUAUUCCAUAAAUAUUCUGGGCUGUCAUGUUCUUUUGGACAUCAGUCUUUCAGCCUCUUCCCCUGUCAAAGCUCUCCUAUCUUGCAUUCUAUUUCCUCAGGGUAAACAUGAGUGAUGUGGGACACUUGAUUUUCUUCUAUAUUGGAGCCUCUGUCCAGAUAUCUACUGAAAAAAAAAAACUAUGCUUCCAGAAGGUUUAGUACAAUGUGACUGUUCAAAGACUGCUUAUCUGUGGGUCAUAGAAAGACAAGAUGGAUUUUACUGCAAAAAGGUCUCUGCUGUGCUUGCCCCAUACAAGAAAGGCAAUGAAAAUAUUUUGAGAGAAAACCAAGGUGUUGAUGUCAAAGUAGUGAUGUCUACAGCCAUCAUGAGGACAAGAUGUCUGAUAUAUAGAAGGGAUCAUGUAUGUUACUUGAUGGCCAGAGGCUGGCUUCCAUGAUGGAAUAAAAAAAAACAUAUUUCAAAAGGAUAAUGAGAU
This 531-nucleotide long non-coding RNA is filed under the name Felis catus (domestic cat). Its description in RNAcentral is "lncRNA (ENSFCAG00000048927.1)". Lineage: Eukaryota; Metazoa; Chordata; Mammalia; Carnivora; Felidae. The record is from RNAcentral.